CAUUGAAACACCGGUUCCCAUAAAAUCGCAGGAGUUAAGCAAGUUUGAGCCUUGUCAGUACUGAGAUGGGUGACUAAUUGUAAAUACCAGAUGCUGUAU
Non-coding RNA from Acanthosepion pharaonis, 99 nucleotides. Lineage: Eukaryota; Metazoa; Mollusca; Cephalopoda; Sepiida; Sepiidae. The record is from the annotation of a GenBank genome assembly.